This 300-nucleotide long non-coding RNA is filed under the name Drosophila guanche. The record is from RNAcentral. Lineage: Eukaryota; Metazoa; Arthropoda; Insecta; Diptera; Drosophilidae.
AAGCCAAUUGCUGGGCCGUGUGCCUGUGCCUGGAUCUGGCUCAGGCUCUAGCUGGGAAUCUGUCCGUGAAUAAGGCUCGUUGAGCAGGGAAGCGAAGCGAUCCGAGCUGAGGCAAUGGGAAUGCUAACAUAACUGAAGCUUACCCAAAGAGGGAGAGGCGAGCUGCACAGUAGCGCCCGCGGACGAAUAAGUGUGUGAAAUAAACAAUGUGCACACGAUGCUCUUCUAAGUCCCCCAGACCCAAGCACCUAACUUUGGGUUGGCUUGUCUGUAUAUUUUUAUACAACAACAAAAAGGAAU